UGGAAAUCCUUUAACACAGAGUCUUUUUGAAAUAACAUCUCUCCUAGGGCUUGGAACCACCACAUCCAAGUGUCUUCCUUGUUCAAAGUUGAUAAAAUUGGAGUAAUUACUGCAUGGAGAAGACAGUAAUUAAUGAGAGAGAAGGCUGAGGAGCAGAGGACCCAACGCCGAAACUAGGAGUUUGCUUGCCUUUAAGGAACAGAGAGAAAUGAAGAGGCAGCGAGAGAGCCGAGCUCCACCACAGGCCUGGGUGAGACGAGAUCACAGGUAACAGAUUUGACUGGAACGGUGCUGCAAGGGAAACUCCAGCUCCUCCUGGGAUUUAAUCCAUGGAGGGGAAUACGGAGAGGCUGGAACCCAGGCCUACUCAGCAGAAGGCCUACAGAAGGCCUAUAGAGUAGAAUGCUGGGCAAAUCUGUGUGCAGACUGAGGGAACACUGCUGUUUGAGGGCCCACUUGCAAUAUGCCCACUUAAAAUUCAGAUAAUAUUCUAAAUCAAAUAAUAUUAUAAAUAUUAGAUAAUAUUCUAAAUCAAACAUCUAAAAAUAACUUGUGGCACCUAUACUUGUUCAGUAUUUCAGGUAUUCAUGGAUGA
Non-coding RNA from Oryctolagus cuniculus (rabbit), 595 nucleotides. The record is from RefSeq and is a predicted model, not a curated record. Lineage: Eukaryota; Metazoa; Chordata; Mammalia; Lagomorpha; Leporidae.